GACGAACGCGGCGGCGUGCCUAAUACAUGCAAGUAGAACGCUGAAGGAGGAGCUUGCUUCUCUGGAUGAGUUGCGAACGGGUGAGUAACGCGUAGGUAACCUGCCUGGUAGCGGGGGAUAACUAUUGGAAACGAUAGCUAAUACCGCAUAAUAGCAGUUAUUGCAUGAUAACUGCUUGAAAGGUGCAAUUGCAUCACUACCAGAUGGACCUGCGUUGUAUUAGCUAGUUGGUGGGGUAACGGCUCACCAAGGCGACGAUACAUAGCCGACCUGAGAGGGUGAUCGGCCACACUGGGACUGAGACACGGCCCAGACUCCUACGGGAGGCAGCAGUAGGGAAUCUUCGGCAAUGGACGGAAGUCUGACCGAGCAACGCCGCGUGAGUGAAGAAGGUUUUCGGAUCGUAAAGCUCUGUUGUAAGAGAAGAAACGAGUGUGAGAAGUGGAAAGUUUCAACAACUGGG
RNAcentral lists this ribosomal RNA (463 nucleotides) under Streptococcus mitis. RNAcentral describes it as "bacterial SSU rRNA". It matches the Rfam family "Bacterial small subunit ribosomal RNA", at positions 28 to 477 of the family's 1533-position model. Lineage: Bacteria; Bacillati; Bacillota; Bacilli; Lactobacillales; Streptococcaceae. The record is from RNAcentral.